AAGGACAGGAGGGGAAAGACGACGCAGAUGCUGAGCGGCCGCCGGGAGGUCACCCCGCGUCCGGCUGGGCGGGCCUGGGGCGCGGGGGCCGGCGUUGGCAUCUCCCGCCUCUGCGCGGGGCUGCAGGCGGAGCCCGAGGGUGCUGGGCUCCGGCAGGCGCUGCAGAGCAAGCCCGGGCAAGGGCCUUCCCGCGGCCGCCGGGGACAGCAGGACAGCCGCGAGGCCGGACCACCCCGGCCAUCCCCGCCACCCCAGAUUCCCCGCGUGCCCAGGCCGCGCCUCCCGCGCCGCGCCUCCCCGCGCCCCCGGACCUGGCGACGUCACUGCGGCUCUGACGCGCGCGAACGGAGGCGCGGGCGGAGGCGGCGCGGCGCGGGCAUCCUCCGGGAGGUCCCGGGCCCCGCAGCCCACGGCCGCGUCCUUGGCCCUCUUCCAGGGGCACCUCGAUUUUCCACACUCGGGAAGGCCGACUGUCCUUCGCUACAGAUAAGGACGCGAGCGCAGGGUAACAGAUUUUAACAAUGCCCGGAAAGAAAUAGCCGGACCCAAGAAAGAAACUAAAAAUAGCCGCCAGCUAGAGCCUGCUCGUGUAGCGGUCUUAAGAACAAUAAUGACAACAACCAUAAUAGCCACCAUUUAUUGAGCGCUUCCCCUGUGCCAGGCACUGCGUUAAGCGCUUUGCAGGCAACAACCCUCGGAGAUGAGGUCACGGGACUGGUAAGUAGCGACACUGGGAAUCCACCCAGGAGGAUGUGACUUGAGAGCCCCAUUCCCAUCACCCAGGAUGCACAAGCUGAUGCAGUGAACAGAAGAGCGUCCCCCUCCUCUUCCUGUCCCUGCUGAGCCUGGCACAGAAGGGGUCAAUGAAUAUUUGCGGAACGACUGCUCCAAGACUUUGUUUCUUCUCUUACCUAUAAUGACUACCUCCCAGAUAAAUAAGCAUCUCUUUCUCUCUGCCCCGGCCUAAACACCUGACGUAGUCACAAGGUCCCUCCCGGCUCCUGCCCCAAGUCCCUGUGCUUCCACAGGAGGCCCCUUCCAGAACUAACAGCCUGGGGUUCUGUUUGAAGUUUUUCAAUUUCCGAAGUCCCAAGAUUCUGUAACCCAUGUUAAGCACAAGAAAUCUUUUGAUCGGCUGCUAUACCUCCUGCCCAAGCACAGAAGAGAAAGCCCUGGGGAGGACCUGGAUUGUCACAGUGUUGUCCUUCCAGAGAAGGUCGACCAGAGGUCGGCCCUGCUGAGAACAGGCAGCUGAGGUCUCGCAAUGUCCAGACAUUCGGCAGGUCCUGCAUCAAGGACACUCCGGUUCCUUGUGCUCAUUGCUCCACCAUCCACACUGCCAUUCACGGUGCCCAAAAUGGGACUCGUGCCGGUUCCAAGCAGGACAUCUCCUUCUUCCAGCCAUGAGAACUCCGCUUGUGCAGACCGGGGAAAUGAGUGCCUCAUUACUCAGCCAACUGGAAUGUGGGAGAAUUAGAUCUCAAGAAAAAUGACCCAUGAAUGGACCCUGGUGAUCCAGGGCCUUGAAGGUUCAGAGGUGCUUCCUCCUGAGUCCGCACUGGCCCCAAGCUUUCCUUCCCGUGCCUUCUGCAGUUACCAUUUACAGGACACUCGCUACGCGCUGAGCACGGUGCUCAGUGCUCUCCCGCCAUCAGCUGAUUUUCUCAUCUUCACAACAGUCCUGCAGUAAAUGACAUCCGGAAGGAAGCAGCCCAGGCUGCUACCACAGCUUCAUAACCAUCAGACUGGGGCUCCUCCUGACUGGGGCUCUCCAUCCUCAGUGCAUGCCUUCCACUUGUGACCCAAGACACUGCUGGAGGAGGAAGGAGCCAAGAAGAAGGCCACUUCUCCUCCAAGGACACUUCCUGGAAUUCCCUUCCGCUUAUCCCCCACUAACCAGAACUAACUCCCAAGGUCCCUGGGAAAUAGGGUAUUAUCAAAGUAGGGGUUCUAUUCCCAUGGCCAAGGGGGUGAACAGAUAUGGGGGGCCCACUGGCCUCUCUGCCACGUUUCACAAACUUCUUUCCAGUGUGUAUAGUUUUGUAUCCUGGUUUUUUCUCUCUCUCUCUUUUUUUUUUUUGGUG
RNAcentral lists this long non-coding RNA (2084 nucleotides) under Equus asinus (donkey). RNAcentral's name for it is "lncRNA (ENSEASG00005023810.1)". Lineage: Eukaryota; Metazoa; Chordata; Mammalia; Perissodactyla; Equidae. The record is from RNAcentral.